AGUUGCAAAUUUCGUGAUGGUAUUACAAGCUCCUUGCCAUCCAAAAUAUGUGGCUGA
Molecule: microRNA precursor, 57 nt
Filed under: Caenorhabditis briggsae
Lineage: Eukaryota; Metazoa; Nematoda; Chromadorea; Rhabditida; Rhabditidae
Description: mir-7583 microRNA precursor family
Rfam family: mir-7583 microRNA precursor family
Source: Rfam by way of RNAcentral